This 465-nucleotide ribosomal RNA is filed under the name uncultured bacterium. RNAcentral's name for it is "partial 16S ribosomal RNA". It matches the Rfam family "Bacterial small subunit ribosomal RNA", at positions 28 to 507 of the family's 1533-position model. The record is from RNAcentral.
GACGAACGCUGGCGGCGUGCUUAACACAUGCAAGUCGUACGGUAAGGCCCUUUCGGGGGUACACGAGUGGCGAACGGGUGAGUAACACGUGAGUAACCUGCCCACAACUUUGGGAUAACGCUAGGAAACUGGUGCUAAUACUGGAUAUGUGCUCCUGCUGCAUGGUGGGGGUUGGAAAGCUCCGGCGGUUGUGGAUGGACUCGCGGCCUAUCAGCUUGUUGGUGGGGUAGUGGCCUACCAAGGCGGCGACGGGUAGCCGGCCUGAGAGGGUGACCGGCCACAUUGGGACUGAGAUACGGCCAAGACUCCGACGGGAGGCAGCAGUGGGGAAUAUUGCACAAUGGGCGCGAGCCUGAUGCAGCACCGCCGCGUGCGGGAUGACGGCCUUCGGGUUGUAAACCGCUUUCAGCAGGGACGAAGCUUUUUGUGACGGUACCUGCAGAAGAAGCACCGGCUAACUACGUG